ACACGAUAUUAAAUGGAUAAAAGUAAAAAAAUAAAUAAAUAAAUAAAUAAUAAAAAAGCAUUUUUAUCCUUCAGUGCAUUAAAACAUGAAUUGUGUAAAUUGUUGUGGUAUAAGAUGAAUCAAUCACUUCCGGACAUGCUGUUAUGGGAAAAUGACCAACAGGAACACACACACCAUCACACCACCCUGUCAGUGAUUAUUUUUUCUGCAACAGCACGAGACAGAGUGUUUACACACACACACACACACACACACACACACACAGAGAGGGGCUUCUUACAGGAAUUUGAAAUUUGCUUUCCUGUAAAUGCAUGACUUAACAGAUGUCCUGACAGAGCGAAAGUGAAAGUGAAUUUAUCAGUCUUCCUGUCUCUCUGCACCUAAACUGAUCCUCGACAGAUCACACGACAAACCUGGGCUUUCAUUUGACUUCAGAAUGCUUCCCGUACACAGUGUCUACCCUCUGGUUUUAGGGAAAACCAUGAACUCCGAUAAGCACUUUAUGGAUUGUCUCAGAUCCGAAAUGAAGCUACAUGAAGUGGACUCGCAGAAUGACUGUGAUGUCCUCAUUGCUUUCGUCCCGAUUGUGUCUCGAGCUGGAACGGACAUUCAAGCUGCUCUUGAAAGAAUUCCCAAACAUUCAUACAAGCGCGUCGUUCUGGUGUCUCUCCACCACACAUUCGAUCAGGAUUACAUCGCUCCGGACAGCAGACACUCUGUUCACAGGAAUGACGUGUUUGCUGUGGACUGUCUCUAUCAUGAAGACAUGGGACUGCUGAAAUCCCGAACCAAUGAUGAGGCACUGAAAAGAGUAAUAAAGCAUCUAGGAGGAGAAACACCAUAUAAGGUCUCUGAAUGGAGCCUGUUGAUUGUGAAUAAAAUGGGUGCGGACAAGACCGAAUUUAUUCCUUGGUUAUGUGCCGUGCUGAGCAGCCUUUGUUUAUACUUUGUUCUGCCAGAAGGGUACAGCUUCUUCCACUUCUUAAUUUUGGAGAUAUUGCUGCUGAUUAUCAUAUCUGUGUCCCUGAGUUACUACAGCAAGUAUCUCAAAAAUAGCAAAUACCACCUUGGGAAGUGGACUCUUUGGAUUUUUACUGGUAUGAACGUUGUCCUCAUACUUGUAUUUCAGAGUUCCACUAAGGAGUCUGUGCAUGAGUUGAAUAAUGCCACUGAACACAGUCAAAACAUGUGAUACGGAUAAUAUUGCUUUGCCUGAUAUUGUGGUAUGUGGUUUAGAAAACUUGUUAAUAUUAAAUAAACACUUCUCUGUUCAAUAAUAAACUAUAGGCAUGGGGACAAAAAUAUGUUCAUUUGUGGUUUUGUUAAAAGUUCAAAUUAAAAGAAGUGAAUUCAGGAUUAAUAGAACGAUUAAUUUAAGAUUAAAUUAAAAAUAAACUAAAAUUAAAUGAAAUAAAUCAAAUGAGUAAAAUACACAGUACUGUGCAACAGUCUUAGGGACUCUUUGUUUAGCAUAAUUUUGUUAUAGAUAUUUAUUUGAUGAAUUCUGCUUUAUCGAGUCAGUACAGAAACAUUUUAGAUCUCCAAACAUUACUCAUCCAAAAGUAUAAUGUUGCAGAGAAAUAUUUACGUUAGAAGAGAAAGCAACGUAUUACAUAAGAGACCACUUUUCAGAGAAAUAAACAUAAUGAAGGCGGCUGGGUUUUGCAUGCGAAAAAGAAGAAGAAGCAAACGUGACAGUCUCCAGAAGAAGUCAGAUUCUCCAAGAUGCUCAACAAAACAACGAAAGGAGCAAGAAUGUGUGGACGAUUGUCAAGGGGGUGUAAUCAGGGCAAGACUUAUGGAGGAAUGCUGAAAAACAAGAAAGUUCAGAAAGAACAAAACACCUCCUACCCAAGCAUGCAGAUCCAAGUGUCUACACCCAGGCUACACGCCACCAACACAGCAGUUUCCGAUCACGUGACCUUACCAGGAAAACAAAAAUCGAGAUAUUAAACGUAUGACAUUUGUUUAAUUUUAUCGUGUCAAGACCAGUAUCUCUAAACUAGCAACAUCGUUAUUUAUAACCACAAUAAACAUAACCACGUCAGCGUCUGUACGCUGUUGAGAAAAAAGAAUACUUUAGCUACACAAACUUGUAGAUAUUUUAUUUAAUAAAUAUUUAAAAUGGUCCAAAAUGAGAGAUAUGACCAAUCUUUUCAGUUGCUCUCCUGUCUGAAUGAAGAGAUGAGUAAGUAAAGUAGAUAUGCGACCAAACACUCUGAACAAAUCAUCUGGGAUGGAGAUAAUACUGCUGCAAUGAUCUACAAUGACAGAUGACAGACACCUGCAGACGGGUUCAACUGAUGUACUGAAGAAGAAGAAGAAGAAGAAGGCGUCUUAAAAUUUAUAAUUGUUAAUAUAUUUCUAUGCUUAAUGUUUGUAAAGUUUAUCAUGGUUUAUGAUAACCAUUAAUGUACUGUAUUUAACCAUGGGCAGUGGUAGCUCAGCGAUGAAGGUGUUGGACUACUGCUCAGGAGGUCGUGAAUCAAACCUCAGCACUACCACAAUACCUGUUGGGCCCUUGAGCAACUGCUCAGAUGUAUAAAUGAAAUAAAUCCUGAGCCCGAAGAGUGAAAGUAAAUGUACCAGGAAAUAAACAACCUGUGGUUUGCAUUUUGUCCACCAACGAAUUCAGUCCAGAGCGUGUAACUCGGCUGAGAUCCCCCUUCAAAAUGACCCAAGUCUUUCCAGCAACGAUCAGAGUUUUUGUCAAGGUCCUUGGGAAGACCAAGAAGUCCCACAAGACCUUCAUGGAGCGUCUGACAACUUCGCCGAAACUUCGUGAAGUGAAGUCGGUGAACGACAGUGAUGUCAUCAUUGCUUUUGUCCCAGUUGUGUCUCAAGCUGGAACUGACAUUGGAGCUGCAAUGGCCAAAAUUCCUCAGGGUAAGCCUGUUGUUCUCGUGGUGCUCCACCACACAUAUGAUCAGAAUUACAUCGCUCCGGACAGCAGACGCUGUGUAAACACAGACAGAGUGUUUGCUGUAGAUUGUCUCUAUCAUGACCAAGGUCUGCUGAAUUGCCUGCGCAAUGACGACGCAAUCAGAGCCGUGAAGAAGCACCUGAGAUGCGACGACCACAUUGAGGACGACUCCAUAUUUGAUUGCUGGUUAUGUGUCCUGAAGGAACCGAAGAAUCUCACUCGGAUAUUGAUUGGUGUAUUCGUUUGCCUUCUGAUCAUCCUACUGAUUAUAGUUAUAAUUAAGCUCACUUCAUUAAUGCGUUAAUUCACGAUUUAAAAUUGGAAUACAGAGUGCACCGGGGUUAUGCUAGCGCUUGUGUCAGAGGUAUACUCUAUCUAUAAUAUAAUGACUAUGAAGUACUUUUGAUGAAUAGUUUAGCACUGCGUGUGCUUUACACUGUGUGUUUGUAGGGUUUAAUAUGAAACUAUCUGUAUAUGUGUUAUUAUAUGACAGACUAUAGUAACAGAUUAGUUUAGUUAUCUUUCUCUUUAGCCUACAGCUGUUAUUUGUUGCUUUAUUAGACAUAGAUUUGAAAUAGAAAAACUAAAUUACAUUUACAGCUUUGUUUCCUUUCCUAACCCCAGUGGGUGAAUUGAAAUGGCCUCAAGAUUAUGUGUAGUCUAUGAAUGUGUGUGUGUGUGUGUGUGUGUGUGUGUGUGUGUGUGUGUGUGUGUGUGUGUGUGUAUUUGAUUUCUUUCUGUUUAUGUCACGAUAGGCGACAGUGUGCACAUAACUCCAGCAGACUUCUGCUGCAUUUCACUCAUUUUUAUAUGUUUUUAUUUUCUGCACCUGAUUUGUUCUUGAAUAUAUUAUAAUGGUGUUGUUUUGGGUUUUUUUUUUUUUUUUUUUUGCAAAUAAAAAACUAUUUGUGCCUCCCUUUCUGUUUACUCACUCACACUCACUCAGUCACUGAAUUUUGUCAUCUAGUCUAACCACACUAGCUAUUUCUGUUUAGC
Molecule: long non-coding RNA, 3919 nt
Organism: Ictalurus punctatus (channel catfish)
Lineage: Eukaryota; Metazoa; Chordata; Actinopteri; Siluriformes; Ictaluridae
Source: Ensembl